RNAcentral lists this ribosomal RNA (425 nucleotides) under uncultured bacterium. RNAcentral describes it as "partial 16S ribosomal RNA". It matches the Rfam family "Bacterial small subunit ribosomal RNA", at positions 354 to 796 of the family's 1533-position model. The record is from RNAcentral.
GUGGGGAAUCUUGCGCAAUGGGCGAAAGCCUGACGCAGCCAUGCCGCGUGAAUGAUGAAGGUCUUAGGAUUGUAAAAUUCUUUCACCGGGGACGAUAAUGACGGUACCCGGAGAAGAAGCUCCGGCUAACUUCGUGCCAGCAGCCGCGGUAAUACGAAGGGGGCUAGCGUUGCUCGGAAUUACUGGGCGUAAAGGGCGCGUAGGCGGACAGCUUAGUCAGAGGUGAAAGCCCAGGGCUCAACCUUGGAAUUGCCUUUGAUACUGGCUGUCUUGAGUUUGGGAGAGGUGAGUGGAACUCCGAGUGUAGAGGUGAAAUUCGCAGAUAUUCGGAAGAACACCAGUGGCGAAGGCGACUUUCCGGACGAAAACUGACGCUGAGGCGCGAAAGCCAGGGGAGCGAACGGGAUUAGAAACCCUUGUAGUCC